CUGCAUUCCAUAUAUUAACUACCUAUUAUGUAAAAUAGCUCUUAUAUUUAUUUGUGUAAAGGCUGUCAAGUAUCCUGAAAGUUGCUGAAGAAAUUAAUCUCACCGGCAUUUUAGGAGCUCUGAACAUUUGCUGUCUCUGGGUUCAAGGGACCACCAGAAUUUCUAAGCAAGGAAGAACAUGCCAAAUGAAGGUAAGUUGCAAAAAGAGGUAUUUCCUUUGCCUUGAAUACAGGGGUGCUAUUCAUGGCCCUAAAUCUUACCAAUACAGAGACCAUAAACAGUUGGAUUCUGGAAGUCCUUCAUCAAGAAAUGAAUCAAUAUUUUUGGAGUACUGGCUACAUGCAACACACUAUGUUUAUGAACCUACAAAUCCACAAUUAUGAAUAUCAUUUUUAAAAACUCUGCUUUAUAUAAACAUACAGGUUAAGCAUACAGGUUCUGGCAGCAUACUCUGAGUUUCAUAUCUCCCCCUCUUCACUUACCAGCAAUGUUACCUUGGGCAAUUUACCUCUUUGGGCUUCAGUUUCCUGAUAUGUAGAAUGAGAAAAAUAAUGCUACCUGUCUCACAGGGUUACUGUGAGGAUUGAUUUAGAUUAUCCAGGUAAAACUGUUAGACAAUACCUGGAAACUACUAAGCACCAAAUAAAUGUCAUGAGCUGAAGAGGCAGAGAGAGAGGAUGC
Molecule: long non-coding RNA, 681 nt
Filed under: Homo sapiens (human)
Lineage: Eukaryota; Metazoa; Chordata; Mammalia; Primates; Hominidae
Description: non-protein coding lnc-FANCL-6:1
Source: RNAcentral